GUGCAUUGCAGUACAUGUACUAAAAUUGGAAUGGUAUGAAGAAGAUUGGAAUGGCUUUUGCACAAGGAUGACAUGAAAGUUUGUGAAGAAUUCCCUAUUCUU
This is a small nuclear RNA of Phodopus roborovskii (desert hamster), 102 nucleotides long. NCBI's taxonomy places the organism in Eukaryota, Metazoa, Chordata, Mammalia, Rodentia, Cricetidae. The record is from RefSeq and is a predicted model, not a curated record.